GCCGCUUCGCCGGGCACGAUCCAUUCGAAUUCCGGCAGCUGGUGCCUGAACCAGGUGUAUUGCCGCUUGGCGUAGUGGCGGGGGGGGGGGUGGGGCGGGCGGGGGGGGGGGGNUCCAGAGAGAUCUCGCCCGCGAGAUACCGGAUCAUCGCCGGCACGCCGUGCGCCUUCAUCGCAGGCAGCAUCGGAUCGAGCUUGCGCGCCGCCAGCGCCGC
RNAcentral lists this unclassified non-coding RNA (214 nucleotides) under Hevea brasiliensis (rubber tree). The record is from RNAcentral. Lineage: Eukaryota; Viridiplantae; Streptophyta; Magnoliopsida; Malpighiales; Euphorbiaceae.